UGGUUGAUGAUGACGCGACCACUGCUCAAUCUGAGUUCUGGGAAUUAGGUGAUGGAUCGUGUUCUAAGAACGCACUGAGUCUG
Molecule: non-coding RNA, 83 nt
Organism: Cervus elaphus (red deer)
Lineage: Eukaryota; Metazoa; Chordata; Mammalia; Artiodactyla; Cervidae
Product: small Cajal body-specific RNA 18
Exons: 1
Source: RefSeq, a predicted model, not a curated record